CUUCAGCAAGUUGUGGAUUUAGGUGAAAAGCAUGGUUAUAAUUAGAGCGACAGCCUGAAAGCUCCACCAGCUAAGAUGAGCACAGCUGGAUCUUCCCACUGCAUGCACAGGAGUCCAGGAGGCUGCUCCAGCCUUGAAAAUGAUCCUUCUUAAAAGGAUUUUCUCCUUCCUCAAGGGAAAGAAAACCCAUUGAUAUAAAACCUCACUUCCCUUCCGGCUUUCCCUGCUAAAUGCCACUCCAGUGGAGGCUGAGUGUUGAUAAAUACAGGAGAAAGAAAAAAUCAGUAAGCUGAGCCUGGUCACAUUGACCCUUGUGAUAUAGUUUUAUUUUUAACCUCGAAACACUUGAACUAUUCCUGUUGAAGUUUUCUCUCCUUUCUCUGCCUCCUCAACACAACUCUGCUCUGGGCAGUUGAUACACCUUCAGCCGCUUCCUGCAAGCUGCUUGCUCACAAUCUGGGACGCAGGUGCAGCAGAUGCUGACUCAGCACAUGCUGUUAAGGCUCUGUCCUAUUUGUCCUUGGUACCAUCUAAGUUGCCCACAUGCCCUUGACCACCACUGCACAGGUAGCUCAAUGUGACACUGGUUUCUACAGAAUCUCUCAAUAAAACAUCAAGGUAAAGAGUAUGGGGGCCAAAAAGGGGAAGAGACUUGGGGGAACUCACAUUUUUAGAGGAGUAAGAGAUAUCACUAAAUUUAGGAAAAUCAGACAAACCCACAGAGGAUAAGGAUCCAGUCUCUGCACCAAAACAGAGGUGAGUAGAACAGGGCAUCAUAUCUCCCAAGACAACCAAUAGUAUAUCUAAUGCGAUCAAUUUGGGGCAACAGCAAUUGGCUUCAAAUAAGGUGAUCAAUUAGCUGAGAGGCAUGCUAGGACCUGAGACUUACAGUGAUAAAACCAGGAGAGCCCCAGGCAAACCAGGGCCAUUUGUCAUUGUACUUACCCCGCAAUAAUUAGACUAUCAAGGAUUUUGGACUGUCCUUUAUCCCAGUGAGAAAAAUUUCCCCCAGAUAUACAACAAAAUGUUUAUAUAUGAUUUUUUAUGUCCUUAGGCUGUAUUUACCUUUCUAUAUAUACCUGUAAAAUUUCUCCAGAGUCCUCUCUACUCGCUGUGUCAUUUUGCUCAAUACAUGUCCUCUCUCAAAGUCACUUAUUUGGUGUAGUUCCAGAGCCUGCCAGAAGAUCUUUAAAUAGCAGCAUUAAAAAAAACAGUAGCAUCUUUGUUAUCUGCAUGCUUUGUUUUUUCUUUUCUCUUAAAGGGACAUUUUCAAAUACUGUAUUUUGCUGUGCGCCCACGUUUUGUGUACAUUAUACAGGGGAUUAUUAUAUCUAUGGUAUGUAAUCAUUAUACCCAGGUAUAAUGCACAUCCUUAUUUUUCCCUCAGGAAUUUGGGCAAAAAAGUGCACAUUAUACAUGGCAAAAUAUGGUAACUUCAAAUAGAUAGAGAGCAAUAAGUCUCCACCACAAUUGGUUCCUGCUUCAAUAACACUGUUCUUAAGGAUCAUACUUUAUAGCGCUGAAGGAUAAGAAAUGAGUGCGCUUCAAGCUCAUCACCACUGCCACCAGACAAAUCUCUGCUACUGGGGCAGGGUUCUCACUACACAUGUGUAACAUAGAAGUAGCCACACCUGCUUUUCCGUUCCCAGAGACUGGGAUUAACUUUGUGACAGAACCAGGCAGGCAUAUACAAAGUUGGACAUUUCUCGUGCUGGUAGCUUUUUUCACACAGCCUUAUUCCAUUUGUGAUCUGCCUCUUCUUUGCUGCCGAAAAACCAGUAGGGGACUCUGACUCAUCCAGACUCCAUCUUUAUUAAUUCAUAUAUUUUAUGAAUAGAAAACAGAUGGUGAUGCUUUCCCAGCCAGAGCACAGGACCUGCCAACACUGGAGUGCUUAAUGGCUUUCCCUUCCGCUCCCAGCAAACACUGCAUUUAGAAUGGCCAAGGGUCCCACAGCACAGCUGAAGUGCCACAUUUGUUCUAGCAAGAACUUUACAUUGUCAUCAUUGUUCUUAACUUCAUGGUAGCAUCUGAGGCUGUGGCUCACCCUUUCUUUUUUUACAUCUGGGUCACAUAGUGUUGACUCUUUUAACUCUCUGGUCUCUCUUUCUCAGGCCCUGUUUCUUCCUAUUG
Pteronotus mesoamericanus is the source of this 2133-nucleotide long non-coding RNA. RefSeq lists it as uncharacterized. The transcript has 4 exons. The record is from RefSeq and is a predicted model, not a curated record. Lineage: Eukaryota; Metazoa; Chordata; Mammalia; Chiroptera; Mormoopidae.